RNAcentral lists this ribosomal RNA (253 nucleotides) under uncultured bacterium. Its description in RNAcentral is "partial 16S ribosomal RNA". It matches the Rfam family "Bacterial small subunit ribosomal RNA", at positions 524 to 776 of the family's 1533-position model. The record is from RNAcentral.
UACGGAGGGUGCAAACGUUGCUCGGAAUUAUUGGGCGUAAAGCGCACGUAGGCGGUCCAGCAAGUCGGGUGUGAAAGCCCUCGGCUUAACCGAGGAAGUGCAUUCGAAACUACUGGACUUGAAUACUGAAGAGGAUCGCGGAAUUCCCGGUGUAGAGGUGAAAUUCGUAGAUAUCGGGAGGAACACCAGUGGCGAAGGCGGCGAUCUGGGCAGAUAUUGACGCUGAUGUGCGAAAGCGUGGGGAGCAAACAGG